RNAcentral lists this ribosomal RNA (404 nucleotides) under uncultured bacterium. Its description in RNAcentral is "bacterial SSU rRNA". It matches the Rfam family "Bacterial small subunit ribosomal RNA", at positions 362 to 758 of the family's 1533-position model. The record is from RNAcentral.
UAUUGCGCAAUGGGCGAAAGCCUGACGCAGCAACGCCGCGUGAGGGAUGAAGGUUCUCGGAUUGUAAACCUCUGUCGGGGGGGACAAAACCUAUGCUGGCUAAUAUCCAGCAUAAUUGAUGGUACCCCCAAAGGGAGCACCGGCUAACUCCGUGCCAGCAGCCGCGGUAAUACGGAGGGUGCAAGCGUUGUUCGGAAUUAUUGGGCGUAAAGCGCACGUAGGUGGCUUCAGAAGUCCGGUGUGAAAUCCCUCGGCUUAACCGAGGAAGUGCGCCGGAAACCAUGGAGCUAGAGUAUCGGAGGGGAGAGUGGAAUUCCCAGUGUAGAGGUGAAAUUCGUAGAUAUUGGGAGGAACACCGGUGGCGAAAGCGACUCUCUGGACGAUUACUGACACUAAGUGCGAAA